UCAGUGCAACAAAGAUCAGAUUAUGCCUUCAUAUUUGUGUGUUAGUCUGAUUGCACACAGCAGAAUGUUUAGCUCCAGAGCUUGGGGAUUUUACAGCUACCACAGAUAUCAAGGACAUUAGGCAGAAAUCAGGAACCAACCACAACCUGGAGAAAAGAUCAUAAUAAUAAGAGAAGAACCAGGAUUGCACCAAGGAAAAUAUGAAUUAAACAACAGGGAGCUCUGAUUAAUGAAGCCAGCUGGCUGCGAACCAGGUGAGCAGCAGCAAGGCCCUUCCAGGGAAUGGAAACAAGAAAUGUGUUGAGGACUUUGGGACAGAGAAAAUAAAAGGCAAGAAGAGGAAAACAGAACAGUGGGAACAGACAGAAUCUCAGCAUGUGUGGUCUCCUGUGUGCCAGUGGGAAAAGACCUUGUCAGAGAGAAGCAACAAAACCUCAGGGCAUAUAAAUUUCUGGCCUCAGUUUGAUCUCAAGCUCCCUUCACAGCCUGGAGCAAGUGACUCCAGAGGAGGAGAGCAGCAGCACAGGUUCCAAUGACACCUUGGCAGAAAGCCUAAAAAACUCUCUGCAGGCUCCCACUGGAUCAUUUCUCCUGCUUCUUAUGGAAAGUUUUCAGCCCAGACUGCAGCCAGAUUUAAUGUUCAAGUGAGCUGAUUAUGACUUAUUGUCCCCAUCACAGAGCUGCCACCAGGCCACCCCAGCUGGCAGUGCCAUGAGGUACUUUGCAAAAAUAAGAUGGAUGGCAGCAGCAGGAGCAGGAGAGCAAGCUCUGAACCAGGAGCAAAAGCAGAGCUCAUUUAGGUCUCUUUUGCACUGUGCUGCAAAAGCCUGGGGGGGAAGAAGAGAAGGGGUAAUGGUUUAAACCCAUAUCAAUUUAUAUUAAAUAGAAGGAAGGAUUUUUUUCAUAGUGAGGGUGGUAAAACACUGGCACCCAGGGAUGUGGUGGGGGCUGCAUCCCUGGAAACAUUCCAGGUCAGGCUGGACAUGGAUCUGAGCCCCUGGCUGAGUUGGAGAUGUCCCUGCUCUUUGCAGGGGAUUAGUCCAGGUGAGGUCACUUCCAACCCAAGCUGGUCUGUGAUUGCAUGAUGAACUUUCCUUGGUAGGACAGAGGGUGGGCUGGACCUGCAGAGGUCACAUUGGAG
This 1141-nucleotide long non-coding RNA is filed under the name Zonotrichia albicollis (white-throated sparrow). RNAcentral's name for it is "lncRNA (ENSZALG00000010248.1)". The record is from RNAcentral. Lineage: Eukaryota; Metazoa; Chordata; Aves; Passeriformes; Passerellidae.